CCUUACUCAGAAGGCAAGAACUUAAAGAGCAGAGGAGCGAGUCAGAGACAUCUGGAGGAAAAGUCAGCUCACAUGCUCUAAGGCUGGAGUGCACUCACCGAGUUUAAAGAACACGAGGAAGACAAUCAUGGCUGGAGCUGAGUGAGUGACUGGACAGCAGAAGAAAACAAGGCAGAGAGGCAAUGGGAAGGUCAGCUCAGCUCCUUGAAGAUGGUGUCUAGACUAUUACCACUUCCUCCUUUUGUCUUCCUCCCACGGCAGUCUGAUUUCUCUCCAUAUCACCCCAGUGAAACCCUUUCACCCAGAAAUGUUCUUCGGAUCAUUAAAUCUGAGAACACAAUUAGGGAGUGUCCCGUAUAAUCUCACGCACAUCAGCGCCUGCACAUGGAUUAUCUUCUUUGGAUAUCAGACAACACUAGAUCCUGAAGACUAAAAGCAGUUGAAGAUGGAUAUUGUUUCAUUUCCCCAGUGCCCUAAAGGAUAUCCCUGACUAUCCCAAGGGGCCUGUAAUUUCACGAAGACAAGGAAAAGUGAACUUGGAGCCACAUGUCAUCCUCUGCUAGUCCUGCUAACUAAUUGAAAAAUAUCUGAUGGGUCUUGGCACUGGUUGGUCAUUGCUACAGACACUAGCUAAAAUGCCUGUGGAUUAUGAUGCUCAAGGUCUAUGCUCUCAGGCAAAGCAGAGCGAUUACUCCAUGAAGCUCAGCAAACUUGUCUAGUGAUGCUGGAGCAUCCUGACCUUGUCUGUGUCAAGCAUAGACUGUAGAGCAGGAGCGCACAGCCCCAAGACUGUUCAUCUGGACCCUCCGGCCUGCCUGCACUGAGCCAGCACCCUGGCACCAUGCUGCACGAAGCAGAGGGAAGAGAGCAGAAGUCUGGAUAUUCUUUGAUUCCCCCUCACUCAAUCCAGAUCAGAAUGUCUAUCAUAUCAGGUCUACUAGUAAUUAAUGUCGUUUUUUAACAUUCGCUUAAAAUCUUGCUUGGCGUUGACUUGUAUUGACAUAACCUUCAAACACGUGGU
Molecule: long non-coding RNA, 1021 nt
Organism: Pipistrellus kuhlii (Kuhl's pipistrelle)
Lineage: Eukaryota; Metazoa; Chordata; Mammalia; Chiroptera; Vespertilionidae
Exons: 5
Source: RefSeq, a predicted model, not a curated record